This 465-nucleotide ribosomal RNA is filed under the name uncultured bacterium. RNAcentral describes it as "partial 16S ribosomal RNA". It matches the Rfam family "Bacterial small subunit ribosomal RNA", at positions 28 to 507 of the family's 1533-position model. The record is from RNAcentral.
GAUGAACGCUGGCGGCGUGCUUAACACAUGCAAGUCGAACGGAAAGGCUCCUGCUUGCAGGGGUACUCGAGUGGCGAACGGGUGAGUAACACGUGGGUGAUCUGCCCUGCACUUCGGGAUAAGCCUGGGAAACUGGGUCUAAUACCGGAUAGGACGAUGGUUUGGAUGCCAUUGUGGAAAGUUUUUCGGUGUGGGAUGAGCUCGCGGCCUAUCAGCUUGUUGGUGGGGUAAUGGCCUACCAAGGCGUCGACGGGUAGCCGGCCUGAGAGGGUGUACGGCCACAUUGGGACUGAGAUACGGCACAGACUCCUACGGGAGGCAGCAGUGGGGAAUAUUGCACAAUGGGCGGAAGCCUGAUGCAGCGACGCCGCGUGGGGGAUGACGGCCUUCGGGUUGUAAACUACUUUCGCUAGGGACGAAGCGCAAGUGACGGUACCUGGAGAAGAAGCACCGGCUAACUACGUG